AGUAACACGUGGAUAACCUACCUAUAAGACUGGGAUAACUUCGGGAAACCGGAGCUAAUACCGGAUAAUAUUUUGAACCGCAUGGUUCAAAAGUGAGAGACGGUCUUGCUGUCACUUAUAGAUGGAUCCGCGCUGCAUUAGCUAGUUGGUAAGGUAACGGCUUACCAAGGCAACGAUGCAUAGCCGACCUGAGAGGGUGAUCGGCCACACUGGAACUGAGACACGGUCCAG
This 231-nucleotide ribosomal RNA is filed under the name uncultured Staphylococcus sp. RNAcentral describes it as "partial 16S ribosomal RNA". It matches the Rfam family "Bacterial small subunit ribosomal RNA", at positions 109 to 334 of the family's 1533-position model. The record is from RNAcentral. Lineage: Bacteria; Bacillati; Bacillota; Bacilli; Caryophanales; Staphylococcaceae.